RNAcentral lists this ribosomal RNA (444 nucleotides) under Pseudomonas aeruginosa. RNAcentral describes it as "bacterial SSU rRNA". It matches the Rfam family "Bacterial small subunit ribosomal RNA", at positions 30 to 476 of the family's 1533-position model. The record is from RNAcentral. Lineage: Bacteria; Pseudomonadati; Pseudomonadota; Gammaproteobacteria; Pseudomonadales; Pseudomonadaceae.
AUUGAACGCUGGCGGCAGGCCUAACACAUGCAAGUCGAGCGGAUGAAGGGAGCUUGCUCCUGGAUUCAGCGGCGGACGGGUGAGUAAUGCCUAGGAAUCUGCCUGGUAGUGGGGGAUAACGUCCGGAAACGGGCGCUAAUACCGCAUACGUCCUGAGGGAGAAAGUGGGGGAUCUUCGGACCUCACGCUAUCAGAUGAGCCUAGGUCGGAUUAGCUAGUUGGUGGGGUAAAGGCCUACCAAGGCGACGAUCCGUAACUGGUCUGAGAGGAUGAUCAGUCACACUGGAACUGAGACACGGUCCAGACUCCUACGGGAGGCAGCAGUGGGGAAUAUUGGACAAUGGGCGAAAGCCUGAUCCAGCCAUGCCGCGUGUGUGAAGAAGGUCUUCGGAUUGUAAAGCACUUUAAGUUGGGAGGAAGGGCAGUAAGUUAAUACCUUGCUGU